CCUACGUGAGGCAGCAGUGAGGAAUAUUGGUCAAUGGGCGCGAGCCUGAACCAGCCAAGUAGCGUGAAGGAUGACUGCCCUACGGGUUGUAAACUUCUUUUAUAAAGGAAUAAAGUGAGGCACGUGUGCCUUUUUGUAUGUAAUUUAUGAAUAAGGAUCGGCUAACUCCGUGCCAGCAGCCGCGGUAAUACGGAGGAUCCGAGCGUUAUCCGGAUUUAUUGGGUUUAAAGGGAGCGUAGAUGGGUUGUUAAGUAAGUUGUGAAAGUUUGCGGCUCAACCGUAAAAUUGCAAUUGAUACUGGCAGUCUUGAGUACAGUUGAGGUAGGCGGAAUUCGUGGUGUAGCGGUGAAAUGCUGAGAUAUCACGAAGAACUCCGAUUGCGAAGGCAGCUUACUAAACUGCCACUGACAUUGAUGCUCGAAAGUGUGGGUAUCAAACAGGAUUAGAUACCCCAGUAGUC
RNAcentral lists this ribosomal RNA (460 nucleotides) under uncultured bacterium. Its description in RNAcentral is "partial 16S ribosomal RNA". It matches the Rfam family "Bacterial small subunit ribosomal RNA", at positions 338 to 795 of the family's 1533-position model. The record is from RNAcentral.